AUGAAGGCAGCAAUUGUUGGAGGGUCAAUUGGAGGAGUUGUGAUGGUUGUGGUGUGGUGUAUCAUCUCAUGUUUCAAGUGGAUAGGGACAACAAGCCAUGACUUUGUUGCCCGAAGUGGCGGAGCUAGACAAUUCGAGUACCGUGUUCUAGCUUCUGCAACAGACAACUUCUCUGAGGAGAGGGUUAUUGGGAGAGGUAACUUUGGAGUAGUCUACAGGGGUAUGUUCUCCAACAAAUUAUCAUCAGGUGCACCCUCCACCGGAUCAGAUGGUCCAUCCUAUGGGGAUGAGGUGGCUGUAAAGAAGAUAUUGAAAGAGACAAGGGGGGGAAAUCUGGACUUCUUCACUGAGAUGAACACCAUUAGCGAAGCCAAGCACAAGAAUCUCGUCAAGCUGAAAGGUUGGUGUUGCAAGGAAAACAACCGGAGCCUGCUUGAUUUUAUGUGCUGGUGCUGCAGAAAGAAGAAGGAUGACGAGCUCUUCCUUGUCUAUGAAUUGGUGCCUAACGGCAAUCUACACCAUCACCUUUGCGAGAGUACGCAAGCAAUACUAUGGGCAACAAGGUACCAAAUUGUGAAAGACAUUGGCUCUGCUCUUGUUUACCUCCAUCAUGACAGUGCCCCAUACAUUUUGCACAGAGAUAUCAAACCAGGCAACAUACUCCUGGACAACAACUUUAACGCCAAGCUUGCCGAUUUCGGGCUAUCAAGGAUAGGCAACCAGGACAAUGUGACAUUGAUGACAUAUGCUCUAGGAACGGAAGCGUACAUGGCUCCAGAAUGCAAGAAAGAUGGGAAAGUCAAAUUCCACCCGAGAUCUGACGUAUACAGCUUUGGAAUCGUCCUACUAGACAUUGUAUGCACAGGGAAGUCAAGGGAGCAAGUGUGGGAGCUAUAUCAAGGAGGCAAUGUCUUGGAUGCUAUAGAUGAAAGGUUGUGUAGGGACGACUCUGACUUGACACAGAUGCAGAUGCAUCGUGUGGCUGUCUUGGGACUCUGGUGUUCUCUUCUUGAAAGUGCCAAAAGGCCUACCAUUCAGAAAGCAAUGGAGGUCCUGGCACGUGAUGAGCCAUUUCCCGACCUUAACUACUCGGUGAACACUUCGGUGCCCUCAGCGCAUCAUGGAACAGACACCAGUAGCUCUGACGAGCAGGCACUUGUACCAGAUAACAGCUAG
RNAcentral lists this ribosomal RNA (1176 nucleotides) under Triticum aestivum (bread wheat). RNAcentral describes it as "partial small subunit ribosomal RNA". Lineage: Eukaryota; Viridiplantae; Streptophyta; Magnoliopsida; Poales; Poaceae. The record is from RNAcentral.